RNAcentral lists this ribosomal RNA (649 nucleotides) under Acinetobacter sp. RK23. Its description in RNAcentral is "bacterial SSU rRNA". It matches the Rfam family "Bacterial small subunit ribosomal RNA", at positions 390 to 1030 of the family's 1533-position model. Lineage: Bacteria; Pseudomonadati; Pseudomonadota; Gammaproteobacteria; Moraxellales; Moraxellaceae. The record is from RNAcentral.
UGCCAUGCCGCGUGUGUGAAGAAGGCCUUAUGGUUGUAAAGCACUUUAAGCGAGGAGGAGGCUCUUUUGGUUAAUACCCAAGAUGAGUGGACGUUACUCGCAGAAUAAGCACCGGCUAACUCUGUGCCAGCAGCCGCGGUAAUACAGAGGGUGCGAGCGUUAAUCGGAUUUACUGGGCGUAAAGCGUGCGUAGGCGGCUUUUUAAGUCGGAUGUGAAAUCCCCGAGCUUAACUUGGGAAUUGCAUUCGAUACUGGGGAGCUAGAGUAUGGGAGAGGAUGGUAGAAUUCCAGGUGUAGCGGUGAAAUGCGUAGAGAUCUGGAGGAAUACCGAUGGCGAAGGCAGCCAUCUGGCCUAAUACUGACGCUGAGGUACGAAAGCAUGGGGAGCAAACAGGAUUAGAUACCCUGGUAGUCCAUGCCGUAAACGAUGUCUACUAGCCGUUGGGGUCUUUGAGACUUUAGUGGCGCAGCUAACGCGAUAAGUAGACCGCCUGGGGAGUACGGUCGCAAGACUAAAACUCAAAUGAAUUGACGGGGGCCCGCACAAGCGGUGGAGCAUGUGGUUUAAUUCGAUGCAACGCGAAGAACCUUACCUGGUCUUGACAUAGUAAGAACUUUCCAGAGAUGGAUUGGUGCCUUCGGGAACUUU